Molecule: non-coding RNA, 9669 nt
Organism: Podarcis lilfordi (Lilford's wall lizard)
Lineage: Eukaryota; Metazoa; Chordata; Lepidosauria; Squamata; Lacertidae
Source: the annotation of a GenBank genome assembly
GCCCAUCAUUAAAAGCAAUAUAAACAUUCCUCAGUGACUUCAAGAGGCACCUGACAGUCAGAAGUGAGACUGCCUUUGUUAAAGCUAUUUUAUUAGGAUGUGCUGACCAGCGUCCCAAAAGUAGAAAACUUUACUGCAUGUAUUUCCUCGCCCUUUCCAAAUACACAUACAAUUUAACUUUUUAUUCAAGUCAUAUAUCUUUCCCCCUUUCCACCUUCAACUUGAAAGCUGACGGGGUUUUCUGCUGAGUAAUUUAACAGAUGAGCCUGCGGAGUUAUAAACCUUUUCAGCCCGCCGCCCUCCAUAAUACUGAACUUCAUGCAUCCCAUUCAGAAGGCCUGCUUCAUGAAGAUGCAAUUGCUCUGAAGCCUCUAGUCUUCUUCCCAUUAGGACUUCUGCUGUUCCAUAUUCUGCAGAGGCCUUUGAUAUGGUAAUGAGGCUGGGGUGAGGGAUCUCCUGCCUUAAAAAAAAAAGUGGUAAAAUUCAUAUUUUAACUCUAAAGGCAGAUGGACAUGUUCCAAAACAGUGUCUGUGGGAAAUGAACAUUUGUGGCAGAAAAGUGGAAAUUUGUGGAGUUUAGAUGAUGAAUUGCACAAUGAGUUGAUUUCAGCAAUGUGCUCAUUUCAGAAUACGGUACAGUCUUGUCAUGAACUACUGCCGGGAUCUUCUUCCAGGAGAAAAGGUUCCUCCUUGCAGAUGUGAAGUAUUUAUUUAUUCCUACACACACAAACAAGGGAUGCGGGUGGCGCUGUGGGUUAAACCACUGAGCCUAGGACUUGCCGAUCAGAAGGUCGGCGGUUCGAAUCCCCGCGAUGGGGUGAGCUCCCGUUGCUCGGUCCCUGCUCCUGCCAACCUAGCAGUUCGAAAGCACGUCAAAGUGCAAGUAGAUAAAUAGGUACCGCUCUGGUGGGAGGGUAAACGGUGUUUCCGUGCACUGCUCUGGGUUGCCAGAAGUGGCUUAGUCAUGCUGGCCACAUGACCCGGAACUCAGCCAAUAAAGCGAGAUGAGUGCGCAACCCCAGAGUCGGCCAUGACUGGACCUAACGGUCAGGGGUCCCUUUACCUUUACCUUACACACACAAACACACACGUAUCUUUUAUUCACUUAUAUUUUUCAAUAACAGCAUAAGUCUCAGGGCCUACAUAUUUAUUUAUUUGUUUGUUUGUUUGUUUCCCACCCAAUCUGCUACCUCUUCAUCAGUAGUUGAUUUUGCUUUCAGCUGUGACAUUUGCUCAAAAUCCCUGAUCAGAUGAUGGCAGUGGAACAGAGCACAUUUGCUAAUGAAGUGUUUUAUUCAGAGAUGGCGUCCUGGAAAAGCGAAAUCCUCUGGGGAUGGGUAUUUCAUUGGCUCAGAUGCAUUUUCCUACCCAUGAAAGUGUGAGAGACCACGAUCUGUGAGUGAGCUGAAUUUGAAAGUGGAUGGCUUUAAUUUGCCAUGGCUAUUAUGCAAAAUCUCAGCAGGAACAUAUUCAAAGCAUGGAAGUUCCCCAAAGGGGAAAAUGAUCAGUGGUUAUAAUCGACCACCACACACCAGGAAUCACUGCAAUAUUCAUAAGAGCAGCGCCCUUCCAUGAUAGCUGCAUUUUAGGAUUUCUUGCUUGUAAUAACUUAGCAUCGCAAAACACCAUUUGUGCAACUUUUUCUAAUCAGGUCCCAGCCUUGCAAAGCAGCACAGGGCUGGUUUGGGGAGGGCAGCAUAAACGACCCCCCUCCAAAUGUGCCUGGGGCAAUCAUCCCAGCAGCGCCCCCCACCCCGGCUACACCUCUGGAAAUACCUCAUUUUGAUGUGUUUCCUCCAGAACAAGCUUUGAUCCAAAUUGAGAAAAUUCUAAUAGUGUUUUAAGGCAGCAAUGUCUACACAGUCUAUUAUCUUAAGCACUCCACCCCCCCCCCCAUUUCUACCUAUAGAUCUUGAAACAGGGAAAGUUCCAUUGAUUCAAAUGGGCUUUUGCUUAGGUACUGAUAGGGCUGCAAGAAUCACAGUAUCUGCUUCCGUGCAAUUAUUCCAUCCACUCUCCCCCACCACUGCUAAAAAAGAAAAAAAAAAGGAAAAGCAUAUUAUCGCAUUAUUUUGUUGAAAUACCAAAUUUAUAUUUAGAGCCACAAUGAGCAGAUGGAAGCAAUUUUAACUAACAAUUGUACAUCUUUGAUGUGUGCUACAACAAAUCCCGCAAACGCUACAAAUUAGUUUCUUCCUCUCUGCUUCCCUCCCACCUCAUCCCGAUCUAACUGUGUAAUUUAUGAUGUUCUAAACUAAAGGGCAGGUGUCUUGGCUGGGACUGAGCCAUCCAAUUCUCUAGCAAUGCUGAUCUGUAAAUGUGGGAGGUGGAACAAUUGGGGCAUUGCUAAGUUCACAGCUGAUCAUUAGUUCAAGUCUCUAAAGGGCAGCUUCCACACCAGACCCAUCUAUAUAAGGAAACUGAGGUGCUCUUGUUAGAUCUUGGGAGGCUUAUAUUUUUAAAGUUCGAACUAUAAGAGCAGGGUAGGAUUGUUUUUUGACAGCAGCUCAGUGGUAAAGCCUACGCUUUCCUUGUGGUAUGACCCAAGUUCGGUCUUUGGCAUCUCUAGUUCAAUCAGGGAUAGAGAACCUGCAGCUUUCCAGAUGUUGGACUCUCAACAUCUGCAGGGCCACAGCUUCCCCAUCCCUGAGUUAAGAGAAAUAGGUGACUGGUGAUGUGAAGGAACUUCUGCCUGGGAUGCUGGAGAACUGCUGCCAAUCAGGAUAGACAACUGUUGAAAGUAUUCUACUGGUGCAAUGCCAGUUGCUGUCAAGCUUGGAGAGUCCUCCCCUCACUUCAGUAACUUCACAGAUAAGAAUUAAUGAGCCGUUGAUAGAUUGAUAGUCCUUUUUAUUACAGCUUCAUGUUGUGAGCACAAAUACACAGCUCUCUGCAAGAAGGGCAGUUGCCUACUCUAAAUCCUCCUUCCAACUUCCUUCUGCAGCAAGACAGGCGCCAAUGGGAAGUUCCUCCCUCCCUAUGCCUCCUUUGUUCUCUGAUAUGUUCAGACCUCCGAGUCCAUGGUGAGGAAGGGGGUCCCCCACACUCUCGACUGACAUCUCUCCUGGCUGUCCCCUCCCUUCUGGUUCCCUUGUCACUAUCUCGUAGCUGGGUAACUCCUUUCUAAGCUGUUCAGGUUCUGUGUCUGUGUCUGGCUCUCUCUCUGCUUCUGAAAACACUGGAGGUGGCAGGAGGGGGGAAUAUUCCCCCUCCUCUUCUGAGAGAAGCUGAUCUGCCAGCGACUGCAUUCCCCAAUCUUCAUAUCCAGACUAUUCCCUGACAGUUGCUGAAAUAUACUCAGAGUCGCAAAGUGAUUUCAUGCUCUUUAUUCAGCUCAUAGUGGUGAGGAGGAAUGAAUGAAUGUCCCCUCAAAGUAUCUGCUUUAUAUACAUUAUUUACACAAUGGGCUGCACAUGACUGGCUAAUUCCGGAAUUCUACUGUAAGCCAAUCAGGUUGUGGAUUCGCUUCUAUCUGGAGAAUGAUUGGGUGGUUCCUGCCAACCAAUCAGACUGCUGCAUUCUGAAUCCUAUUGUUCUAGGACCAAUCAGACUGCUGCAGUUGGAUCCUAUUCAACUCAGUACAUAACAGUUGCUAUAUUAAGAACAUAAGAAGAACUACCAGGUGGACCAGGCCAAUGGCCCAUCUGGUCCAGCACCCUGUCCUCACAGUGGCCAAACAGAUGCCCAUGGGAAGCCUGUAAACAUAACUUGAGCAUAACAGAAGUCGCCACUGCGAGUCCCAGAAACUGGGAUUCAGAUGCCAACUGUGUCCAGCAAUGAAGGCAGCACAUUUUGUUAUAAUUCUGUCUAAUAAAACUACCUCUAAUUAUUGAGACAGGGUCCUCUCUGUGGCAGUUCCCCACCUUUGGAAUGCCCUCCAUGAUGGGCAUGGAGUUUGCGUCUUGUCUCUCUCAUUAUUGCCUUUCAGGAGAAAUUUAAAAACAUUCCUGCUUACUCAGGUAUUUGAUGGCUGAAAUAUAACCAGCAACAUUGGAAUUAUCAACUGUGAGGCUAUGUGAUUGCUUUAAAAAGUUUUCAAAUGUUCCAAAAUUUUUGAAAUGCUUUUAGAUGGGGUUUUAAAAAUGGUUUUAAAUAUGUUUUUAGCUCAGUGGGAUGAGCAUGAGACUCUUAAUCUCUGGGUCAUGGGUUCAAGCCCCAUGUUGGGCAAAAAGAUUCCUGCACUGCAGGGGGUUGGACUAGAUGACCUUCGUAGACCUAUUCCAACUCUACAAUUCUAUGAUUUUGUUUUAACUUCAUGGUGUGUUUGCUAUCCUGAGCUCUGUUGGGAUAGAAAUUGUAAGUAAUAAUAACGUCCUCAAGAUGCUUCACAUACUUUAUUGCAGAAAUCCUUCAACAGUGCUUUAAAAUAAGCCAUGUGAAGCAAUCUUAUACUGAGUUAGACCAUAGGUCUGCACAGCUCAUAAUGGACUACUGCUUUUGGAAGCAGCUUUGUAGUGUGUCAGGGAUGUGUUUUUCCCAGUCAUGCUGCACAAUAUUUUAAUUAUUGGUGAUGCUCAACACUUAAUAAACCUGGGGUUUCUGUUUGCAAAGCAGGUAUUCAACCACUGCACAAUGGCAGAAUGAUUUAGGCACACUCAUAUUUCUCUUUUCCAAAAAUUGUAACUGCAUGAUACACAAUGUGCCGUUGUUGUGAUUGCAGGAAACAAAAGAAAUAUGUAUUCCAUCAAAUUACUUCAAAGAAAAACUUCAGUGCAUGAUGUUGUGCCAGUCGAGUGUUAUGCUAAGUUGCCUUCUGACAUUUUAAAGGCCAUUAUUUGAAGGCCCUUUCUUAAUUUAAUGAAUCAGAAGGAUAUCUAGUUCUUUACAGGUCUCAGCUGGAAAAGACUCCUUAAAGAGCUUUAAUUACCUGGCACAAAAGCUAAGACACAAUCUGGGACCACUUGCUGGCUUCUAUUGUUAGUUUCUGGUUUGGAAGAAUUCUCCCUUCAGCAGUAACAGUUUCUUGUUUGGAAAAAAAUUCUUUCAUGAGACAGCUAAGUGGUGGGUUCAUUAGAAAGAUCAAGCAUGAUGUCACUAGCAUUCAUGAAGGUCUUUCAAAUACUAAAAUUAUUCUGAUUGUUGUUUUCCAUACGGAUCUGAAUAAAACAUGGCACAACCAGGAUAGAUUAUGAUCACUGGGUGAAAAUAAAAAUCCAGAAUGGCAAAUGAUACUGUUUUGAUAUGUAAUCAGGGGGCAUAGUUGUGUUUUACACAUAUUGCAGUGAUUUUUUAAGCAGGAAGAGCAAAUGCAAUUCAGCUGUCUGGGGUAACAGCACAGUGGGAGCACUUGGGAGCCAAAUGCAGUAGCAGAAAUUAGAUUCCUUCUGCAAGAUACUGAGGUUUUAGAUUUGAUAUGCUUAGCAGUCCUGAAAUAAGAGGCGAGGUCCUGGUUAACUGGUGAACCUCAGUAACUGGUUAAAUAUCAGAAAGCAGGACUAAAUGGACUGUUCUUUCAAUGGAGGGAUGUGGAAGGUAGAAUUCCCUGAGAAUUGGCACUGGAAAGCUGUAGGAAAAUAUUGUUAAAAUAGAAUAACUAUAGAAUCAUAGAAUUGUAGAUUUGGAAGGGAGCCUAAAGGUCAUCCAGGCUAACCCUCUGUAAUGCAAGAAUCACAGCUAAAGAAUCCCUGGCAGAUGGCCAUCCAACUUCUGCUUUAAAACCACCAAUGAAAGAGUCCACCACCUUCUGAGAUAGUCCGUUCCAUGGCUGAACAGCUGUCAGAAAGUUAUUCCUGCAUACAGAAGCAGGUAGAACAAUUAUUCCGGAAGUGGGACCAUCAUGACUUCUGCAAGAGUACUGUAAGUCCUGUCUCACUAACCUAUUAGAAUUGUUUGAGAGUGUCAACAAGCAUAGAAGUGAUCUGAUUGACACAGUGCAUUUUCAAAAAGCUUUUGACAACAUACCUCUCCAAAGAUUCCUGAGUAAGCAUAGCAGGCAUGAAAGAAGAAGUGAAGUCCUUGUGUGGAUCAGGAACUGGCUACGUGACAGGAAGCAGAGAGUAGGAAUAAGUGGGCUGUUUUCCGGAUGGAGAGAUGUAGAAAGUGGAAUCCCUCACGGAUCAGUAUUGGGACAUGUGCUUUUUAACUAGUUCAUUAACUGUCUAGACUUAAUAACAAUGAUGAAAGGUUUUUUUAAAAAAGAUUGAAAGAUGUUCCAGUAGCACCUUGAAGACCAACUAAGUAUAAGCUUUCUAGGUAUGAGCUUUCGGGUGUAUACACACUUCUUCAGAUACUCUAGACUUAGUGAGCAGUAAAGGAGCCAUGUUUGCUGAUGAUAUGAAGUUGUUCAGGGUCUUUAAAACAAAAAAGGACCUCUCCGGACUGAGUGAAUGGGCAGUAAAAUGGCAAAUGCAAUUCAACAUAAACAAGCAUAAAGUGAUGAACAUUAGGCAAAAGAUUGCAAUUUGACAUAUGCUACCCAAGGUGAUGGGUAGCCCUGCUCAUCUGCAAAAUGGCCCAUAGGGGCUGGGGGGAGGGAGGGAUACAACCCACUAUUCAGAUCGAAUUUCCUACCCCAGCAUAAUCAGCUUCAUGUGAUAACUUCACAUAAUAAAGCAAAACGUUAUAUUUGGCUCUGCAUAUAUCUUGUGUAGCCUUAUUGGAGUUCACCGAUUGGGUCUGCGUGGCUCCCGGACAGGAGGAAGGAAGUCAAAUGACACCGAGGUUGGUUCAAAGAAAGAGUUUAUUCUGCUCUUCGGAUAGCAGAAGGCACUUGCGUGGUCAGUCCGCAGCAAGUCCAAAGAAAUGAGAAAUUUCAUGCAGUAUAUAUAUCCUCCAGGCACCCUUUCCCUCCUUCCCCAGGAAUCCAGCCACGUCAGCUUGUACACACAGGUUGACAUCACAUAUGUUCCUGCUCCGGCACUCUUAACCAUAAAAGGGUAUUCCUUCCUAUACUUCUGACCAUAAAAGGAUCUUCCUGUUCCUACUCUUAUCUUGGAGCAAGAGGUCACCAUCUCCAAGAACACACUCUGGCGCUGUUCCCAGACUGGGUCUGCGCGUCUUUGUGGUCAGGACGUAAGAUAAGGCACAGACGUGUCUUCUCUGUUCUACUGGUACAGUGAAGGCCAUACUUGCUGUCACAAACUGAUAAAGGAGAGGGCUCUGAGCACAGCUUUAUACAGCUGGGUUUCGGCUCAAGAGCUCAAGUUAAAGCAUUUUAGCUAAGGAAAAAUAGGGAUUUUGGUGCAGUUUCAAACUGCCUGCACAGUCAGUUUUGGGGUUUGGGAAACCCAUUCCUUCACUUGCUUGUAAGCUAAACAAAGGUUUGUAUUAGAUUUGUGGCUCUUAUUUACCUCUAGAAGCAGUAGAAUUAAGAGCCUUUCGAAAUCCUUUGUGAAAUGUAAUUUUAACAGCCCAAUCCUGUGCAACGUUAGGCACUGAUAAGUGGGUUUAUUAGGUGUGCCUUGACUCUGCAAUGGAUUGUGAUGUAGAACUGUUCUAAAUGCUCCUCACAUUGUAUAUGAUCACAUCUUCACAUAUCUUGCAAAGCAGCAUUUUAAAAUCCCAUAUUGUCAUCUUUGGUGGGUUUUUUUUUUUAGCCUUUUAUAAUAGUACAACAAUUGUAAGGUAAUUUGCAUUUAGAUGGUUUUUUUCUGUAAGGUUAGCAUGCCAUUAGAUGCACACAUUUCUUAGUCUUGCUUUACAAUGACGUUUUUAAAGCUACAUCUGAUAGAACACCCACCCACUCACCCCCAAUUCCUUUGUGUAUUUUUUAAAAAAUAUAUAAUAAGAUAAAAAGCACAAAAGUCCAUUUACAGAUAAUUUUUAAAUAAUAAAUUAUGGCUAGGGAAUUUGCCACUUAUGAAUAUGCUCUAUACUCAGACAGGCAAAUUGGCUCCUCUUGCUGGGUAUUGUCAGUCUACAAUGACUUGAAGUUUCUCUCCCUGAUUUCAAGUAGAGAUCUUUAACUUAGAGAUGCUGAGGGUGAACCUAAGUUAUUCUAUCCACAAAGCUCUACUAUUGUUCUAAUACAGGCACCCCCAAACUCGGCCCUCCAGAUGUUUUAGGACUACAAUUCCCAUCAUCCCUGACCACUGGUCCUGUUAGCUAGGGAUGAUGGGAGUUGAAGUCCCAAAACAUCUGGAGGGCCGAGUUUGGCGAUGCCUGUGCUAAGACAUCUCUCUACUUGACUAGCUCAUACGAUAAAAUAAGUUUGUUUGUUUCUUAAAACUGUGGCCAGAUUUCAGUAGAAUAACUCUCAGUACCAGGAAAGCUUUAUCCCAGCUUUGGCAGUUACGUCAACUGCACCCCUAUCUGGAGAGGGCUGACCUUGCCACAGUGGCCGAUGCUCCCAUCAUGUGCAGACUACACCACUGCAACACAGUCUCUUUGGGGUUGCCUUGAAAGAAGAUCUAGAAAGGUUAGCUGGUUCACAAUACGGUUCAGAAUAUAAAUCCUGUUGGAUUUAUAUACCAGCUGCACUACUUACCAGUGCCUUUCUAGGCCCAACUAGUUUUGACCCUUAAAACUGGGGUGGAGAACCUCUCGCCCACUUUAAGAUGCAUAAGCCGUAAAGCAAAUCAUGAGCUCUCUAAACAAAAUAAUGCAUCUAGUGUUUGCUGUUAGACAAGAUGACACGUGAUCGUUUCCAAGUAGUGUACUGACUGAGGUGUGAUCCACUCAAUUUUAUAUUCAUUGUUUGAUAAAGCUGUUAUAUAAUAGAAUUAUGUAACUAUAUCUCUAUACACUCACACACAUAUAGCAUGCCUAUUCUCUUCUGUGGUGUGAUGCAACAAGAUACAUAUUCUGCCCAGGAGUGAACCCACAGUUUAGGAAACAUUAUGACACCAACCUGCUGCUCUAUAUUGUUACAAAGAUGAGCGCUGCACCCCAUAGUUGCCUUUGACUGGACUAAACCAUCUAAGGGUCCUUUAACCUUUACAAAGUUUGGAUGCCACCCCCAACCUCUGCUGAACUGUGUCAAGAUUUCAGGAGGUUUCAGAACUUCUUAUGCUUUUUUUCAGACUUUUGUGCAUUCUCCACUGCAGUCAGCUUGGACAGACUCCUCUAGUCCCAUUUUCACUUUCUCUUCUCAUGAUGGGUAAACUUUGCAUCUGUUUAAGAAACCAUAUGUUCUGUGAGUCCUGGAAGACUGCUCCCUGCCUUGCAGGCCUUUUCCCACCAGGCUUCCCACCAAGUCCCUGACGGACUCCAGCUACAAAACCUAAAGCUGCUGAAUGGGCUCUUGGGCUGGGGCGUUUUUUGGGUUGUGUUUUCUUUUGGUUGUUGUUUUUUGUGCAGGUGUUGCUGUUGUUGCAAUUAAUGUUUAGUAUCUUUAUUCUGGAUUUUACCAUUUAUGUGGAAAUUGUUCAAUCUGGUCAUGCACUUUCAUGUUUUGUUUAUGACUUCUUUUGUUAUAUUUGCAGUUAUGUAAUUUUUUUAUGUUGUAAGCCGCCUUGAGAACGGUUUGAACUAUGGAAAGACGGUAUACAAAUAAAAUGAUUGAUUGAUUAGAACUGUUACAUUGUAACCGGGAAGAAAAACACACUGAAGCUGGUGGAACUUACUUCCGACUAAGCGAUUCCCCCCCACCCGCUAUUAGAAGCCCAUUCGCCUCCCAGCCGCCCAUCAAACAGGCUGCCAACACGACGGCGCGUGCGCGCGACGAAUCUUCCCGCUACUCCAAUAUCAUAAAGGAGAUCGCUUACCCUAGCGGCCUUUUCUGAACACGCG